Molecule: ribosomal RNA, 434 nt
Filed under: uncultured bacterium
Lineage: Bacteria
Description: partial 16S ribosomal RNA
Rfam family: Bacterial small subunit ribosomal RNA
Source: RNAcentral
AGCGAACGCUGGCGGCAGGCCUAACACAUGCAAGUCGAACGAACCUUUCGGGGUUAGUGGCGGACGGGUGAGUAACACGUGGGAACGUGCCUUUAGGCUCGGAAUAACUCAGGGAAACUUGUGCUAAUACCGAAUGUGCCCUUCGGGGGAAAGAUUAAUCGCCUUUAGAGCGGCCCGCGUCUGUUUAGCUAGUUGGUUGAGGUAAUGGCUCACCAAGGCGACGAUCAGUAGCUGGUCUGAGAGGAUGAUCAGCCACAUUGGUACUGAGACACGGUCCAAAAUCCUACGGGAGGCAGCAGUGGGGAAUCUUGCGCAAUGGGCGAAAGCCUGACGCAGCCAUGCCGCGUGAAUGAUGAAGGUCUUAGGAUUGUAAAAUUCUUUCACCGGGGACGAUAAUGACGGUACCCGGAGAAGAAGCCCCGGCUAACUUCGUG